Molecule: ribosomal RNA, 292 nt
Filed under: uncultured bacterium
Lineage: Bacteria
Description: partial 16S ribosomal RNA
Rfam family: Bacterial small subunit ribosomal RNA
Source: RNAcentral
GUGUCAGCCGCCGCGGUAAUACGUAGGGUGCAAGCGUUGUCCGGAAUUAUUGGGCGUAAAGAGCUCGUAGGCGGUCUGUCGCGUCGGAAGUGAAAACCCGGGGCUCAACCCCGGGCCUGCUUUCGAUACGGGCAGACUAGAGUUCGGCAGGGGAGACUGGAAUUCCUGGUGUAGCGGUGAAAUGCGCAGAUAUCAGGAGGAACACCGGUGGCGAAGGCGGGUCUCUGGGCCGAUACUGACGCUGAGGAGCGAAAGCGUGGGGAGCAAACAGGAUUAGAUACCCCCGUAGUCC